GUCUACGACCAUACCUCCCUGAACACAACUGAUCUCGUUUGAUCUUGGAAGAUAAGCAGGGUUGGCCCUGGUUAGUACUUGGAUGGAAGACUAUCCACUGGGGAAAGGGAAGAGAAAGACA
Molecule: ribosomal RNA, 121 nt
Filed under: Mustela putorius furo (domestic ferret)
Lineage: Eukaryota; Metazoa; Chordata; Mammalia; Carnivora; Mustelidae
Source: RNAcentral